Molecule: ribosomal RNA, 1440 nt
Filed under: Malassezia yamatoensis
Lineage: Eukaryota; Fungi; Basidiomycota; Malasseziomycetes; Malasseziales; Malasseziaceae
Description: SSU rRNA
Rfam family: Bacterial small subunit ribosomal RNA
Source: RNAcentral
AUUUGUAACUGUUUAAUCUUAGCAGUGUUCGAACUUUUUAUGGUAGUUUUACUCAUGCAAGUUUAAGGUUGUAUAAUGCAACAUUAAGCGUGCGGGCGAGGAAUAUAAAAAAUAGAUACCUGAAGGAACCUAUUGUUGCUCUUUCAGAUUCAUUUUUUAUUCUGUAGGUAGUUGUUGUGAUAAUAGCGCAACAAGCCAGUAACAGAUAGAAAAGAGCGAAAGCUUCAAUUUCCGCAAUUGGUCUUAAUAAACCGAUCGGUCAGUUUUCUGACUGCUGCAGAGGAGAAUCUUGGGCAAUGUUCGAAAGAAUGACCCAGCUAACCAUAACUCGAAAUAAGUAGAGUGUCGUAAGGGAGGAUGAUGACGUUACCUUACUAUUAGUCCAAUCUAAGUCUCGUGCCAGCAGACGCGGUUAUACGAACUGGGCAAAAGUUGAAUAAAUAAAUAGGGUUUUAAGGAUCUGUAGGCUGUUAAAUAAGCAAUGCAAGCAACCUAUGGUUGCGUUGCGUUGCACUUAACUUGAAUUUAAUAGAAGAAAAUAGAAUGCUAGAAGUAGGGAUGAUAUCCGUUGAGAUCUAGUAGAAUACUAAUGGCGAAAGCAAUUUUCUAAGUAUAAAUUGACGCUGAGAGAUGAAAGUUUGGAUAGCGAACCAGAUUAGCUACCUGAGUAGUCCAAACCGUAAACUAUUUACACUAAUUCUUUAGUAAAAAUUCUAUAAAUUAACUAUUAAAAAAGUUAUAAAUUAGAAUUAAUAAUAAAUUAGAGAAAAAGCAAAAGGCUGUAUGUGUAACACCUUGUUAGUAAUGUCUCAAGACUGAAAGCAAAAAGAUUAGACCAUCCUUAAGAACCGGUGUGGAGCAUGUUGUUUAAUACGACAAUACGCGUAGAACCUUACCUCUCCUUGUAUGUUUAUUUAGCAAUCUACGGUUGCUAUUUAAUUCACAGGUGUUGCAUGGCUGUCGGCAGUUCGUGUCGUAAGAUGUUAGGUUGAGUCCGCCAACGAACGCAAUCCAUAGUAUAUAUUUAAGUAAACUCUUACUAUAUACUAUCUCUUUGAUAAAAAGGAUUAUAAUGGGAAUACGAUAAGCCGUCAUGACCCUUAUGGAGUAUGGGCUACAGACGUGCUACUUGAAUCUUACAAUAAGAUGCAAAAUUGUAAAAUUAAGCAAAUCUAUUAAAUAAGAUUUAAUAAGGAUUAUAGACUGAAAUUCGUCUAUAUGAAUCAGGAAUACCGAGUAAUCGUUUAUUAGUAUGGAACGGUGAACUAUUCUAUUAAGGAGAUACUAACUGUCUAUCACAUCUUGGUUAUGUUUAGAAGUGGAACUAAGUAUAUUCAAUUUCUAAAUGAGGUUAAAUAUAUUUAGGACAUUAUAAAUGGAACUGAGGUGAAGUUAUAGCAAGGUAGCCGUAAGGGAACUUGUGGCUGAUUGAUAAUAUAC